AACGGAUCUCUUGGUUCUGGCAUCGAUGAAGAACGCAGCGAAAUGCGAUAAGUAAUGUGAAUUGCAGAAUUCAGUGAAUCAUCGAAUCUUUGAACGCACAUUGCGCCCCCUGGUAUUCCGGGGGGCAUGCCUGUUCGAGCGUCAUUU
RNAcentral lists this ribosomal RNA (147 nucleotides) under Cladosporium oxysporum. RNAcentral's name for it is "5.8S ribosomal RNA". It matches the Rfam family "5.8S ribosomal RNA". From Rfam's summary of the family: 5.8S ribosomal RNA (5.8S rRNA) is a component of the large subunit of the eukaryotic ribosome. It is transcribed by RNA polymerase I as part of the 45S precursor that also contains 18S and 28S rRNA. The record is from RNAcentral. RNAcentral also lists the same sequence under 3 other names. Lineage: Eukaryota; Fungi; Ascomycota; Dothideomycetes; Cladosporiales; Cladosporiaceae.